GACGAACGCUGGCGGCGUGCUUAACACAUGCAAGUCGAACGGAAAGGCCCUGCUUUUGUGGGGUGCUCGAGUGGCGAACGGGUGAGUAACACGUGAGUAACCUGCCCUUGACUUUGGGAUAACUUCAGGAAACUGGGGCUAAUACCGGAUAGGAGCUCCUGCUGCAUGGUGGGGGUUGGAAAGUUUCGGCUGUUGGGGAUGGACUCGCGGCUUAUCAGCUUGUUGGUGGGGUAGUGGCUUACCAAGGCUUUGGCGGGUAGCCGGCCUGGGAGGGUGACCGGCCACAUUGGGACUGAGAUACGGCCCAGACUCCUACGGGAGGCAGCAGGGGGGAAUAUUGCACAAUGGGCGGAAGCCGGAUGCAGCAACGCCGCGUGCGGGAUGACGGCCUUCGGGUUGUAAACCGCUUUCGCCUGUGACGAAGCGUGAGUGACGGUAAUGGGUAAAGAAGCACCGGCUAACUACGUG
RNAcentral lists this ribosomal RNA (468 nucleotides) under uncultured bacterium. Its description in RNAcentral is "partial 16S ribosomal RNA". It matches the Rfam family "Bacterial small subunit ribosomal RNA", at positions 28 to 507 of the family's 1533-position model. The record is from RNAcentral.